This 480-nucleotide unclassified non-coding RNA is filed under the name Ainsliaea cordifolia. RNAcentral's name for it is "partial miscellaneous RNA". Lineage: Eukaryota; Viridiplantae; Streptophyta; Magnoliopsida; Asterales; Asteraceae. The record is from RNAcentral.
CUGGCUUUUGGUUGCCUGCUUUGCCUUUGUGUUGGGCGGGUGGCUAUUGGCUGGGGCAGUUUCGGGGAAUGUCGACCGUAAAGGUGCAUGAGUGGUGUUUGGUUUGUUAUGGGUGGUUGGCUGUCUGCUUGCGCAGCAACGUCCACGCAUACAUACCUCUUCAUUAUAGCGACAAGGCUCAUUUUGCCUUGAGCGUUCCGUGGGUUUCCUGUGUUGCGUACCUAAUCGAUGGUAAUAUGUUGAUCUAUCAUUGUUCCCUUUCGUCAUGCGUCGCUCUUGCGGCGUAAGGCGAACCUUGUAGCUGUCUCUAUGAUCCACCUUGUCAAUGUCCAUGCAUUGAUGAGUUGGCCCGUUGAGCAUUGCUUGGUCUCUUGGAUACAGAACCUUAUGCGGGCAUGGGAUCGUACUUGAUCCCUCAUUUGCCCUUGUUAAGCGUUCUCGCUUCUCCAAAACGACUGCUUGUCAUGUGUUGGCUUGUCC